This 253-nucleotide ribosomal RNA is filed under the name uncultured bacterium. RNAcentral's name for it is "partial 16S ribosomal RNA". It matches the Rfam family "Bacterial small subunit ribosomal RNA", at positions 524 to 776 of the family's 1533-position model. The record is from RNAcentral.
UACGUAGGGUCCGAGCGUUGUCCGGAGUUACUGGGCGUAAAGCGCGCGCAGGCGGCGGUGCUGGCCCGGCGUGAAAGCCCCCGGCUCAACCGGGGAGGGUCGUCGGGGACCGCACCGCUUGAGGGCGGUAGGGGCUGGUGGAAUGCCUGGUGUAGUGGUGAAAUGCGUAGAGAUCAGGCGGAACACCCGUGGCGAAGGCGGCCAGCUGGGCCGUCCCUGACGCUGAGGCGCGAAAGCUAGGGGAGCAAACGGG